RNAcentral lists this transfer RNA (57 nucleotides) under Biomphalaria glabrata. It matches the Rfam family "tRNA", at positions 8 to 63 of the family's 71-position model. From Rfam's summary of the family: Transfer RNA (tRNA) molecules are approximately 80 nucleotides in length. Their secondary structure includes four short double-helical elements and three loops (D, anti-codon, and T loops). Lineage: Eukaryota; Metazoa; Mollusca; Gastropoda; Planorbidae. The record is from Rfam by way of RNAcentral.
UGGCUGAGUGGUAAAGCACUUGGCUUCCGAACCAGGAAUACCAGGUUCAAUUCCUGG